GUAUUACAAGUGAAGUGGUGGAGAGUAACAAAGAGACUCUUUUGUGUAUGGAACUGGAAAACAAAUUGAGUUUUCCAUGGCAGAAAUUGGGGGUCUCACUGUUGAUCUGGUUCUCUCUCUUUUCUUUAUCUCCUUCAUGGCAAUCGUUACGGAGAGGUUCUAUAAAGCAAAAAACAAAUGAAGAAAUAGAACUUACCUGGUGAUUUUCAUUCACAUCUCAAAAUAUACGCGGAGCAUUGCACCAAUGAAGCCAUGUGGAGUAGAAUAUGGUUCUCUCUUCACUUCAACUUCCUCUUGCAAUAAUUUUCACAGCAUGGAUUCUACUGAGAAAACAGAACUGCCAAAAUCAAACUGAAAAGCAGAAUUCCUGCUUGAAGGACAUGGAAGAUUCAACAAGAUGCAGAAUGCCAAACAGGUUCAUUUCCCGAUAAUGGCACUAUUAGCAGGAAUACUGGGUGGAGUUUUUGGUAUUGGAGGUGGAAUGCUUAUCAGUCCACUUCUUCUUCAUGUAGGAAUACCACCAGAGGUAACUGCAGCAACUUGUUCCU
This 548-nucleotide unclassified non-coding RNA is filed under the name Hevea brasiliensis (rubber tree). Lineage: Eukaryota; Viridiplantae; Streptophyta; Magnoliopsida; Malpighiales; Euphorbiaceae. The record is from RNAcentral.